Molecule: ribosomal RNA, 609 nt
Filed under: Haliea salexigens
Lineage: Bacteria; Pseudomonadati; Pseudomonadota; Gammaproteobacteria; Cellvibrionales; Halieaceae
Description: bacterial SSU rRNA
Rfam family: Bacterial small subunit ribosomal RNA
Source: RNAcentral
CGCGAAAGGUCUUCGGACUGAGUAAAGCGGCGGACGGGUGAGUAACGCGUAGGAAUCUACCCAGUAGUGGGGGACAACCUGGUGAAAACCAGGCUAAUACCGCAUACGCCCUAUGGGGGAAAGCGGGGGCUCUUCGGACCUCGCGCUAUUGGACGAGCCUGCGUAAGAUUAGCUAGUUGGUGGGGUAAAGGCCUACCAAGGCGACGAUCUUUAGCUGGUCUGAGAGGAUGAUCAGCCACACUGGGACUGAGACACGGCCCAGACUCCUACGGGAGGCAGCAGUGGGGAAUAUUGCGCAAUGGGGGAAACCCUGACGCAGCCAUGCCGCGUGUGUGAAGAAGGCCUUCGGGUUGUAAAGCACUUUCACUAGUGAGGAAAAGCUGCAGCUUAAUACGCUGUAGCCGUGACGUUAACUUGAGAAGAAGCACCGGCUAAUUCAGUGCCAGCAGCCGCGGUAAUACUGAAGGUGCGAGCGUUAAUCGGAAUUACUGGGCGUAAAGCGCGCGUAGGCGGCUUGGUCAGUGAGGUGUGAAAGCCCCGGGCUCAACCUGGGAACUGCAUCUCAUACUGCCAGGCUAGAGUACGGGAGAGGGUUGUGGAAUUCCACGU